This is a long non-coding RNA of Lacerta agilis (Sand lizard), 370 nucleotides long. RefSeq lists it as uncharacterized. The transcript has 3 exons. The record is from RefSeq and is a predicted model, not a curated record. NCBI's taxonomy places the organism in Eukaryota, Metazoa, Chordata, Lepidosauria, Squamata, Lacertidae.
AAGGGUAGGUAAUGCAUCUAAUAACCACAACAUCAACAGCACACGGAGAAUAUCGUAAAAAGCAUUUUUGAAGACAUCUUAGUUACGGCAACAGAGCCUGCGAGGAUGUCUAAUGGAGCAGUUGUGUUAAUUCCCUCAAACGUUGCUGGUGUAUACCAAGCAGGCCAGAAUUUCCCUGGUCCCCAACCGGCAGGAACAGUGCACUGUGUACAAUAUGCAGGACAACAGUAUGGAAGUCCCAACAACCAAGAAAAUCAAGGCGGGUUGUUGAAUAAACUCCGUAAAGCCGAGACCAAGCCUCUUGGGGCAAUCCAGAUCUUAACUGGAGUGAUCUUGAUUGGCUUGGGGGUUAUCUCAUUUUUUACUACUG